Molecule: non-coding RNA, 682 nt
Organism: Siniperca chuatsi (mandarin fish)
Lineage: Eukaryota; Metazoa; Chordata; Actinopteri; Centrarchiformes; Sinipercidae
Source: the annotation of a RefSeq genome assembly
ACUUCUUACCUGAUGAAAAUGAUGUAAUUUAGUGACUAGCAGCACCACAGCAGAGACAAACACACUAUUUGUCAGAGUUGUGAGAGGAAGGAGGGAGGGAUUAAGUGAGGAGCAAAACUGUGACGCAAGUACAGAAAAGACAAACUUUCACAGUGGUGUUUCAUACAAAAACCAGGCAGAUUCUCUUUAUCUUUAAGAUGUUGUCAGUGAACUUCAGUCUGUUUGUGACUUUGUUUCUGCUCACAAUAAGAGGUGUCAGCUGUGAAGAACUCACUCCAGAUAACGAUGAAGAGUUCAGUUUAGAAGGCAGCACUGUUACUCUGUCCUACAAAUACUCCAAACAAGCAACUGGUAAUGAUGAUUUCUUCUGGUAUCGACAAUAUCCAGGAAAACCACCAGAGUUCCUCCUGUACAUCUCAGGGCUCAACUUUACAAGACCAGCAGAGUCUCUGAAAUCAGACACAAAGUUCUCUACUCAACUGUCUGGAGAAAAACAUCUGGAUCUGCAGAUCUCCUCUGCUGCAGUGACUGACUCUGCUGUGUACUACUGUGCUGUGAAGCCCACAGUGACAGGAAACACCAAGACUCUGUACAAAAACCUUUGGAGCAAAGACAACAGAAUACUCCACAACGUCCACUAGAGGGAGUCACACAGUUAACCUUCAGUGAUAUAUUAACCAUA